AAACAUAGCCGUUACAGGAGGAGGUGUGCAGACAGGUGCAGUUCUGGAGGCAAAUAACUUUCAAGGGCAGGUUAUAAGUCGCAACAAUUAUACUGGUGAGAAUGACCAAUAAUACAUUGUAUUUUAUUGCAAUUUAAUUAUGUAACAUUUUGAAUUGUACUAAUAUUUGUUUGACAAUGUCCAUUUACAUUCUUGAGCUGAGAAUGAAAGGAAUUACUUCCUCUGAUUUAGUAAACAGCAAUGACUGACUGAGUGUACUGUAGGUAGGCCACUGUAACCGCUUCUCUUCAAUUACAGGACCUCCAGCCAGAGAAGGAGCAGGUCCUGUUGCACCCAGAGAACAAACUGGUACUUGCCUCAGCUUGAAUGAUUGCUUCACGUUCAUGUGAAAGUGGCAUUAUCAUUAUGUAAUGAAAAUCUUGUUACUUUUUGUCUUUCGAACUGGAGAUGGGACCAUCAACAUACGGAAUGAGGGCAGCCAAUCACAUCAACCCAUUGCACUCGGCAAUACAUUUGGCGGCGACGUGGUUUUGGAACAGAAUAUUAACUUACAGCCUCCAGGACAAAACAAUGAGAGGGAAAAUGAAGAACGGAUGGAUCUGAAAUAAGAUGAAACAGGCCACCACCUCAUUCAAGAUUAGCCUUAGUAAUUAGAUUUAUACUAAACUUUGUUCAUCUCACUAGUUGAUUUGUACUUAAUAAAAUCACCACUAGUGUCUCAACAGUCCUCCUGAUUCUGAUCAUGGUUUAGUGUGCAUUGAGGCAGAAGAUCCUGAAGGUGCUCAUACAUCCAUAUUUUAUUAGAACGUUUUUUUUUUUUUCAAUCAAAAAGA
Molecule: long non-coding RNA, 833 nt
Organism: Ictalurus furcatus (blue catfish)
Lineage: Eukaryota; Metazoa; Chordata; Actinopteri; Siluriformes; Ictaluridae
Exons: 3
Source: RefSeq, a predicted model, not a curated record